UGGUGGAGUGAUUUGUCUGGUUAAUUCCGAUAACGAACGAGACCUCAGCUUGUUAAAUAGUGUGGGUAAGCUUCUACACGGGUGAAGCAGUGGUCAUCCUCGUCGCUGGGGCCUUCUGGGUCUUGGUCGGCGAGGGUACUGCUGUGGAUCCUUGAAUGCUUGCUCGUAUCUUCUUAAAGGGACACUUGGCGUUUAGCCAGGGGAAGUGAGGCAAUAACA
RNAcentral lists this ribosomal RNA (219 nucleotides) under uncultured eukaryote. Its description in RNAcentral is "partial 18S ribosomal RNA". It matches the Rfam family "Eukaryotic small subunit ribosomal RNA", at positions 1299 to 1458 of the family's 1831-position model. The record is from RNAcentral.